UCCGUAGGCGGAUUGAUAAGUCAGAGGUGAAAUCCCACAGCUUAACUGUGGAACUGCCUUUGAAACUGUUAGUCUUGAGUUAUAUGGAAGUAGAUAGAAUGUGUAGUGUAGCGGUGAAAUGCAUAGAGAUUACACAGAAUACCGAUUGCGAAGGCAGUCUACUACGUAUAUACUGACGCUAAUGGAUGAAAGCGUGGGGAGCGAACAGGAUUAGAUACCCUGGUAGUCC
RNAcentral lists this ribosomal RNA (229 nucleotides) under uncultured bacterium. Its description in RNAcentral is "partial 16S ribosomal RNA". It matches the Rfam family "Bacterial small subunit ribosomal RNA", at positions 568 to 796 of the family's 1533-position model. The record is from RNAcentral.